GUAUUCAAUGGGCUUGAUUUAAGUGUAUUCAAUGGGCUUGAUUUAGGUGUAUUCAAUGGGCUUGAUUUAGGUGUAUUCAAUGGGCUUGAUUGAGGUGUAUGCAAUGGGCUUGAUUUAGGUGUAUUCAAUGGGCUUGAUUUAGGUGUAUGCAAUGGGCUUGAUUUAGGUGUAUGCAAUGGGCUUGAUUUAGGUGUAUGCAAUGGGCUUGAUUUAGGUGUAUGCAAUGGGCUUGAUUUAAGUGUAUGCAAUGGGCUUGAUUUAGGUGUAUGCAAUGGGCUUGAUUUAGGUGUAUGCAAUGGGCUUGAUUUAGGUGUAUUCAAUGGGCUUGAUUUAGGUGUAUUCAAUGGGCUUG
This is a long non-coding RNA of Oncorhynchus tshawytscha (Chinook salmon), 352 nucleotides long. NCBI's taxonomy places the organism in Eukaryota, Metazoa, Chordata, Actinopteri, Salmoniformes, Salmonidae. The record is from Ensembl.